Molecule: small nucleolar RNA, 98 nt
Organism: Oncorhynchus mykiss (rainbow trout)
Lineage: Eukaryota; Metazoa; Chordata; Actinopteri; Salmoniformes; Salmonidae
Source: Ensembl
CAAUGGUUUUAGCGAAGCUGGGGGGUCUCCUUGCCCCCCAGCAGCCAAAUCGAACGCUAUAGUGACGUUUUAUAGGCUUACAGUCCAAAAAUACAUAU